Molecule: ribosomal RNA, 433 nt
Filed under: uncultured bacterium
Lineage: Bacteria
Description: partial 16S ribosomal RNA
Rfam family: Bacterial small subunit ribosomal RNA
Source: RNAcentral
GGCGAACGCUGGCGGCAGGCCUAACACAUGCAAGUCGAACGAACUCUUCGGAGUUAGUGGCGGACGGGUGAGUAACACGUGGGAACGUGCCUUUAGGUUCGGAAUAACUCAGGGAAACUUGUGCUAAUACCGAAUGUGCCCUUCGGGGGAAAGAUUUAUCGCCUUUAGAGCGGCCCGCGUCUGAUUAGCUAGUUGGUGAGGUAAAGGCUCACCAAGGCGACGAUCAGUAGCUGGUCUGAGAGGAUGAUCAGCCACAUUGGGACUGAGACACGGCCCAAACUCCUACGGGAGGCAGCAGUGGGGAAUCUUGCGCAAUGGGCGAAAGCCUGACGCAGCCAUGCCGCGUGAAUGAUGAAGGUCUUAGGAUUGUAAAAUUCUUUCACCGGGGACGAUAAUGACGGUACCCGGAGAAGAAGCCCCGGCUAACUUCGUG